Long non-coding RNA from Scophthalmus maximus (turbot), 2653 nucleotides. Lineage: Eukaryota; Metazoa; Chordata; Actinopteri; Pleuronectiformes; Scophthalmidae. The record is from Ensembl.
AAAAAAAUCAUGAACCUAUUUAUUAUUUGUGGCAUUUUCUUCUCCAUGAUAAGUUCUUGACGUCUGCCUGUUGUUCUUUGCCUGAUUUGAAAUAAUGCCAUGCAAACAAUUCUACCAGAUAUAUCAUCAUCAUCAUCAUCAUCAUCAUCAACAUCAUUAUUAUUAUGACAAUAGAAAAGAAAUAAACAAAAAAAACAGCAACUAAGUACAUUUGCUCAAGUGCAGGUUUGAGUUACUUGUAAUCUGUGCUGUGGAUACAUAUACAUACAGAUACAUAUAUUUUACUAAGAAUGGCAAAGUAUUGUACUUUUUUACUCUGCCACAUCUUACAUAUAUCUACUGCAUAUACGAAACCACCUGAAAACAAUCUACAUCAUAAUUUUCUAUAAUCCAUAAUCUAUAUAAUGAUGUGAUAAGAAAAAGUACAUGAGUAGAAAUACUCAAAGUUUCUACUUGAUACUGUGUGUAGUGAUGAUAUUGUGCAAAAUGACUGAACACAAUAAUAAAAUGAUUAAGUAAAACACAUUUUAACUGAAGUAAACGGAAUGAGAACUUCUGUCACCUCCACCCCCGCUGUCCGGCGUGUGGCGCAGCAGGAUAGACGGCGAACCUGGCAACCCGCUGCGUGCUCCGAUAGGCAGGACCACUCUCCUCCUCCUCCUCCUCCUCCUCCCGCUCCGGGCCUUUUCCAUCCUCCACGUCUCCACACGUCGCCGCAGACGAUCGAACCGUCCGACCGGUUUCACCGCGGGACUGACUCCGGCCACUAGGUGGCGCCGAAACCACAGGAAGAUAGAAGUCACGUGUGUGUGAAGCCUGUGUUCUGUGUCCUGACCAGCAGAGGGCGACUCUGUGAGAACGUCAGUCGACUUCUCACUUGAUUCAUAACCUCAGUAAAACAUUUUCCUGAGGAGUUUAUGGUUCAAUCUCUAGUUUCAAGUCUUCUUCAAUAUAUGAUGAUCAUUUUUUUCCAAAAAAUGAUUUGAAUUCUACCUCAGCUUAAAAAAAAAUGUUUAAAGAAAUAUUUGGGGAAGUCUUGUUUUAGCAGUGCGUCGUCUAAUGUGUGACGGGAACUAUUAAAGUCACAUGGUCUCACGUCAACAUGUCGUCUGUUGAUUUUUUAAUUUUUUUAAUCUGUCAGUGUUGGUCACUGGCACUGACUGUGUGUGUGGUCAGACGUGUGUGUGUGCGGUCGGACGUGUGUGUGCGGUCGGAUCUGUGUGUGUGGUCAGACGUUUGUGUGUGCGGUCGGACGUGUGUGUGCCGGAUGUGUGUGUGCGGUCGGACGUGUGUGAUGAAACGAGGGCGAUGAGAUAAAAAUUGUAUGACAUGUUGUUCUAGAAACAGGGUCAGAAUUACAUAUAACCCUGAACAAGAGGAGGGAGAGUUGACCGACAGGCUCAGUGAAUGUGACAUACACGUGAUGUGACGCAGAACAAAGUGCAAUAAGUAUUAGACGGAAAAAAUGAAACAAUAAAGAAGUGAAAAAUCUGAUUAAUUAAUUUCAGAAAGUUGCAGGAAAACAAAAUGGCGAUUUAAUAAAACUGUUCGAGACUGAGGAAGCUACUGGGAUUUUCUUUUUCCAACAAUAAAAACUUACAAAUGUUCACUAAUCAAAUAUGAAUGUAUGAAUGUACUUUAUGGUGACUGAUGUAUUGUUGAAGAUGCAUUCUCAUCCGUGGCCACAGCAGGUCAGUGUUGGGCCACACACACACACACACACACACACACACACACACUCUAUGAUGCAUAUUGUUUGUUGUGAAUGUGACUCACUGGAUGAAGAAUAAUCGUCGACGUUCUGUUUCAUCGACCUCGACCUCUGAAGCGAGGCCUCUGCAGAACCUGUAUCCUCUCGCACGACCAGGAGGGGGCGACACUGGCAGCAAAAAAAAGAAGUCAGUUACUGUAGAAGUCAGUGAGAUAAAGGACUCUACUGUGUGAUUGACAGCUAAUACUGUCCAGUAGGUGCAGGUUGCAGGUGUAGGUGGACAGGUCCGUCAGGCCACACCCCCUCAGCUGCUCCAAAUAUGGUUACUUCUGGUUUCACAAAUCCAAGAUGGCGCUGAACAAAGUAAUAAACUCAAGGCUUCCAAACCACAACAAACGUUCCACAUAAAGUUUCCCUCGAUGUUAUUUUACGGAGGCACCGUCGCACCGAUACAAAUGUCACUGGUUUAAAGAAAUUAAAAAUAAUCCAGGUUUGUGCUUUUGCUGCCCGACACUGACACAGUCCUGUGAUUCAUAUGUCAUAAUUCAUGGGCCUAAAUUAUAAGAUUGUUUAUGCAGCAUGUGGCGUCAUCGUGGCGUUUUCAGGUUGAUAAAAAAUGAACCGUAAAAAAGACUAAACUUUAACUUCUCAGUCUUGUUUUAGUCUCGGAGGUCGAAAGAAAACGUUCCCUGUGAAAUGAGGCACCUAUCCUGACAAAAUGACUGAUUGGACAUUAUGAAAUAUUAUGUCUUUUUAAAACAGGCCUCCGGGUCACUAACCAGCGUCUCAUUCUGCCAAGUGAUGGACUCCGUUGUCAGUCAACUGAACACGGAUGUUUAGAAACCCGAUCAAUCCAGAAUCUAUUAGUGAUGAUGGAAACGCCGCUCUCUAUUUCUAAUUCUGCUGACAGAUAGAAUUUGAAUGUUUUCAGAAAUGAAUGUU